RNAcentral lists this transfer RNA (73 nucleotides) under Homonota fasciata (South American marked gecko). RNAcentral describes it as "tRNA-Trp". The record is from RNAcentral. Lineage: Eukaryota; Metazoa; Chordata; Lepidosauria; Squamata; Phyllodactylidae.
AGAAACUUAAGUUAAUACUAAACCCGGGACCUUCAAAGCCCCAAAUAUGAGCCACAGACCCUCCUAGUUUCUG